Macrobrachium nipponense is the source of this 347-nucleotide long non-coding RNA. RefSeq lists it as uncharacterized. The record is from RefSeq and is a predicted model, not a curated record. Lineage: Eukaryota; Metazoa; Arthropoda; Malacostraca; Decapoda; Palaemonidae. The transcript is spliced from 3 exons.
AUAUACAUGUUAUAAACCACUGUACGUAUGGUUACUGUAUGUAACUUACUAAACAUACAUAACAUGACUUAACUUUGAUACUUUUUUUGGUACAUUCCAGAAAACCAGGACCCCCUCCAUGAUGCAGGCUAUGGGGCCACAUAAAACUUUGUCCAGGGUUACUACAUAACAUAAAGAACCCCCUGAAUGAUGUAGGCUAUGGGGCCACAUAAGACUUUGUGCAUCCAGGGUUACAUAGCACGACAACUUUAAACUAAAGAACCCCCUGAAUGAUGUAGGCUAUGGGGCCACAUAAGACUUUGUGCAUCCAGGGUUACAUAGCAUGACAACUUUAAACUAAAAAGUAA